Molecule: unclassified non-coding RNA, 350 nt
Filed under: soil metagenome
Description: partial contains 5.8S ribosomal RNA, internal transcribed spacer 2, and large subunit ribosomal RNA
Rfam family: 5.8S ribosomal RNA (bases 1-120)
Source: RNAcentral
GAUGAAGAACGUAGUGAAAUGCGAUAAGUAAUGUGAAUUGCAGAAUUCAGUGAAUCAUCGAAUCUUUGAACGCACAUUGCGCCCCCUGGCAUUCCGGGGGGCAUGCCUGUCCGAGCGUCAUUGCUGCCCUUCAAGCCCGGCUUGUGUGUUGGGUCGUCGUCCCCCCCGGGGGACGGGCCCGAAAGGCAGCGGCGGCACCGCGUCCGGUCCUCGAGCGUAUGGGACUUUGUCACCCGCUCGAUUAGGGCCGGCCGGGCGCCAGCCGGCGUCUCCAACCUUCUAUUUUACCAGGUUGACCUCGGAUCAGGUAGGGAUACCCGCUGAACUUAAGCAUAUCAAUAAGCGGAGGA